AAGCGUUUAUGACCAGACUUGGGCUUGGUUAAUCAUCUGGGGUUCUCCCCAGUGCACUUUUCCAGUCCAGGCCAGCAUCAGUUUUCCCCGGGGGAUAAAGGCGGCGGGAAUGUGGCUCUCUUCGGGGAGUGUUAUAGCCCUCGGUGCAAUGCCGCCUACCUGGACCGAGGACCGCGCUUCGGCUAGGAUGCUGGCGUAAUGGU
This 203-nucleotide ribosomal RNA is filed under the name Nectriaceae sp. RNAcentral's name for it is "partial large subunit ribosomal RNA". The record is from RNAcentral. Lineage: Eukaryota; Fungi; Ascomycota; Sordariomycetes; Hypocreales; Nectriaceae.